AUCUGACGCUCAGGCUCCGCCCCCUGCAUGUCUUUGUUGGCAAACAGUUCUGGGGGUCGUCCGAUCCUGCAGGUUCCCAGGAAACGAUGCCAGCGCUUUGAGUAGCGAAGAGGUGGAGAAAUAGCCCGGGCCGUUUGCAAGCUUUGAAGGUCCAGGCUCUCUUUCACACUCCUCAGUGUCAUCUCAAACUGUCAAACGCAGCCACAUCCGUUAUACAAUACAUGUUUUGUAGUAAAAGUGUUUUGUUGUGCCGUAAGAUACAGAAAGUGUUUUUAAAAAUUAACUUGGCUCUUGCAAUUUGGCUGUCUCAAUUUGUAAUUCACGUUUGGCUCUUACAACUCACUGUCCUGUCCGUUUUCAGGAAUGCUCCUGAUGAGUAAGCAUUCAACUCACAAAUUGCUUUCAAAUGUAACAAAACAAUUUUAUGAAUUAAAUUUAACAGGCCGGGCGCGGUGGCUCACGCCUUUAAUCCCUGCACUUUGGGAGGCCGAGGUGGGCAGAUUGCCUGAGGUCAGGAGAUCGAGACCAGCCUGACGAACAGGGUGAAACCCCAUCUCUACUAAAAAUACAAAAAUUAGCCAGAUGUGGUGGUGG
Molecule: long non-coding RNA, 594 nt
Filed under: Homo sapiens (human)
Lineage: Eukaryota; Metazoa; Chordata; Mammalia; Primates; Hominidae
Description: non-protein coding EDRF1-AS1:42
Source: RNAcentral